RNAcentral lists this transfer RNA (74 nucleotides) under Patescibacteria group bacterium. RNAcentral's name for it is "tRNA-Val". It matches the Rfam family "tRNA". Rfam says of the family: Transfer RNA (tRNA) molecules are approximately 80 nucleotides in length. The record is from RNAcentral.
GGGCGGUUAGCUCAGCUGGUUAGAGCGUUCGCUUGACGUGCGAAAGGUCACAGAUUCGAAUUCUGUAUCGCCCA